Molecule: unclassified non-coding RNA, 549 nt
Filed under: Trichoderma viridescens
Lineage: Eukaryota; Fungi; Ascomycota; Sordariomycetes; Hypocreales; Hypocreaceae
Description: partial contains 18S rRNA, ITS1, 5.8S rRNA, ITS2 and 28S RNA
Rfam family: 5.8S ribosomal RNA (bases 190-343)
Source: RNAcentral
CAUUACCGAGUUUACAACUCCCAAACCCAAUGUGAACCAUACCAAACUGUUGCCUCGGCGGGGUCACGCCCCGGGUGCGUCGCAGCCCCGGAACCAGGCGCCCGCCGGAGGGACCAACCAAACUCUUUCUGUAGUCCCCUCGCGGACGUUAUUUCUUACAGCUCUGAGCAAAAAUUCAAAAUGAAUCAAAACUUUCAACAACGGAUCUCUUGGUUCUGGCAUCGAUGAAGAACGCAGCGAAAUGCGAUAAGUAAUGUGAAUUGCAGAAUUCAGUGAAUCAUCGAAUCUUUGAACGCACAUUGCGCCCGCCAGUAUUCUGGCGGGCAUGCCUGUCCGAGCGUCAUUUCAACCCUCGAACCCCUCCGGGGGUCCGGCGUUGGGGAUCGGGAACCCCUAAGACGGGAUCCCGGCCCCGAAAUACAGUGGCGGUCUCGCCGCAGCCUCUCAUGCGCAGUAGUUUGCACAACUCGCACCGGGAGCGCGGCGCGUCCACGUCCGUAAAACACCCAACUUCUGAAAUGUUGACCUCGGAUCAGGUAGGAAUACCCG